GACGAACGCUGGCGGCGUGCUUAACACAUGCAAGUCGAACGGAAAGGCCCUGCUUUUGUGGGGUGCUCGAGUGGCGAACGGGUGAGUAACACGUGAGUAACCUGUCCUUGACUUUGGGAUAACUUCAGGAAACUGGGGCUAAUACCGGAUAGGAUCUCUUGCUGCACGGUGGGGGUUGGAAAGUUUCGGCGGUUGGGGAUGUAAUCGCGGCUUAUCAGCUUGUUGGUGGGGUAGUGGCUUACCAAGGCUUUGACGGGUAGCCGGCCUGAGAGGGUGACCGGCCACAUUGGGACUGAGAUACGGCCCAGACUCCUACGGGAGGCAGCAGUGGGGAAUAUUGCACAAUGGGCGGAAGCCUGAUGCAGCAACGCCGCGUGCGGGAUGACGGCCUUCGGGUUGUAAACCGCUUUCGCCUGUGACGAAGCGUGAGUGACGGUAAUGGGUAAAGAAGCACCGGCUAACUACGUG
Molecule: ribosomal RNA, 468 nt
Filed under: uncultured bacterium
Lineage: Bacteria
Description: partial 16S ribosomal RNA
Rfam family: Bacterial small subunit ribosomal RNA
Source: RNAcentral